Molecule: non-coding RNA, 315 nt
Organism: Malus domestica (apple)
Lineage: Eukaryota; Viridiplantae; Streptophyta; Magnoliopsida; Rosales; Rosaceae
Source: RefSeq, a predicted model, not a curated record
GUUGCAGCAAAAGUUGUUGGUCGAAUUUCCAGUUUUUCAUUGCGGCUUUGCAAGCUCUUUAUCAUCAAGUUACUGCUUCAACCAAAAAACUUUUGCUCAUGUGUUAAAGGAUGUUGGCAUGUGUUAUCCAAAAAAAAGAAGUAUUGAUUUCACAUUUUUUUGUGUGCGUAAAUAGUUGAUCCUAACAUGAAUUCUCCGUUCUUUUUAUGUAUAUAAACAAUGGGCUCUUUAGGAUCACUGUCAAGGGGGAAUACUAGAUUAACCAUUUUUGUGUACUGAUGAUAAGGCAUUUGAUAAUGUAUUUUCUGUAAAUUA